RNAcentral lists this ribosomal RNA (471 nucleotides) under uncultured bacterium. RNAcentral describes it as "bacterial SSU rRNA". It matches the Rfam family "Bacterial small subunit ribosomal RNA", at positions 327 to 793 of the family's 1533-position model. The record is from RNAcentral.
AGCAGAGCACUCCUCGGGAGGCAGCAGUGGGGAAUAUUGCACAAUGGGCGCAAGCCUGAUGCAGCCAUGCCGCGUGUGUGAAGAAGGCCUUCGGGUUGUAAAGCACUUUCAGUCGUGAGGAAGGUAGUGUAGUUAAUAGCUGCAUUAUUUGACGUUAGCAACAGAAGAAGCACCGGCUAACUCCGUGCCAGCAGCCGCGGUAAUACGGAGGGUGCGAGCGUUAAUCGGAAUUACUGGGCGUAAAGCGCAUGCAGGUGGUUUGUUAAGUCAGAUGUGAAAGCCCGGGGCUCAACCUCGGAAUUGCAUUUGAAACUGGCAGACUAGAGUACUGUAGAGGGGUAGAAUUUCAGGUGUAGCGGUGAAAUGCGUAGAGAUCUGAAGGAAUACCGGUGGCGAAGGCGGCCCCCUGGACAGAUACUGACACUCAGAUGCGAAAGCGUGGGGAGCAAACAGGAUUAGAUACCCUGGUAG